Molecule: ribosomal RNA, 465 nt
Filed under: uncultured bacterium
Lineage: Bacteria
Description: partial 16S ribosomal RNA
Rfam family: Bacterial small subunit ribosomal RNA
Source: RNAcentral
GACGAACGCUGGCGGCGUGCUUAACACAUGCAAGUCGAACGGAAAGGCCCCCUUGUGGGGUACUCGAGUGGCGAACGGGUGAGUAACACGUGAGUAACCUACCCUUGACUUUGGGAUAACUUCAGGAAACUGGGGCUAAUACCGGAUAGGAGCUCCUGCUGCAUGGUGGGGGUUGGAAAGUUUCGGCGGUUGGGGAUGGACUCGCGGCUUAUCAGCUUGUUGGUGGGGUAGUGGCUCACCAAGGCUUUGACGGGUAGCCGGCCUGAGAGGGUGACCGGCCACAUUGGGACUGAGAUACGGCCCAGACUCCUACGGGAGGCAGCAGUGGGGAAUAUUGCACAAUGGGCGGAAGCCUGAUGCAGCAACGCCGCGUGCGGGAUGACGGCCUUCGGGUUGUAAACCGCUUUCGCCUGUGACGAAGCGUGAGUGACGGUAAUGGGGAAAGAAGCACCGGCUAACUACGUG